RNAcentral lists this ribosomal RNA (918 nucleotides) under Torula herbarum. RNAcentral describes it as "LSU rRNA". It matches the Rfam family "Eukaryotic large subunit ribosomal RNA", at positions 38 to 967 of the family's 3401-position model. Lineage: Eukaryota; Fungi; Ascomycota; Dothideomycetes; Pleosporales; Torulaceae. The record is from RNAcentral.
GCAUAUCAAUAAGCGGAGGAAAAAGAAACCAACAGGGAUUGCCCCCAGUAACGGCGAGUGAAGCGGCAACAGCUCAAAUUUGAAAUCUGGCCCCCCUCGGGGCCCGAGUUGUAAUUUGCAGAGGGAGCUUUUGGCGUCGGUCGUGGUCUAAGUUCCUUGGAACAGGACGUCACAGAGGGUGAGAAUCCCGUACGUGGCCGCCGGCCUUCGCCUUGUAAAGCCCCUUCGACGAGUCGAGUUGUUUGGGAAUGCAGCUCUAAAUGGGAGGUAAAUUCCUUCUAAAGCUAAAUACCCGCCAGAGACCGAUAGCGCACAAGUAGAGUGAUCGAAAGAUGAAAAGCACUUUGGAAAGAGAGUGAAAAAGCACGUGAAAUUGUUGAAAGGGAAGCGCUUGCGGCUAGACGUGCCCGCGGUUGAUCAUCCAGGCUCCGGCCUGGUGCACUCCUCCGCGGGCAGGCCAGCAUCAGUUCGGGCGGUCGGAUAAAGGCCUCUGUCACGUACCACCCCUCGGGGUGGCCUUAUAGGGGAGGCGCAACACGGCCAGCCCGGACUGAGGUUCCGCGCAUCUGCUAGGAUGCUGGCGUAAUAGCAGCAAGCGGCCCGUCUUGAAACACGGACCAAGGAGUCUAACAUCUAUGCGAGUGUUUGGGUGUCAAGCCCGAGCGCGCAAUGAAAGUGAACGGAGGUGGGAACCCUCACGGGUGCACCAUCGACCGAUCCUGAUGUCUUCGGAUGGAUUUGAGUAAGAGCAUAGCUGUUGGGACCCGAAAGAUGGUGAACUAUGCCUGAAUAGGGUGAAGCCAGAGGAAACUCUGGUGGAGGCUCGCAGCGGUUCUGACGUGCAAAUCGAUCGUCAAAUUUGGGCAUAGGGGCGAAAGACUAAUCGAACCAUCUAGUAGCUGGGUUCCCUGCCGAAGU